Long non-coding RNA from Salvelinus fontinalis (brook trout), 2199 nucleotides. RefSeq lists it as uncharacterized. Lineage: Eukaryota; Metazoa; Chordata; Actinopteri; Salmoniformes; Salmonidae. The transcript has 3 exons. The record is from RefSeq and is a predicted model, not a curated record.
AAAGACAGAGAGAGGAUGCCAGCGGGGGGAAAGACAGAGAGAGGAUGCCAGCUGGGAAAAGACAGAGAGAGGAUGCCAGCCGCGGGAAAGACAGAGAGAGGAUGCCAGCUGGGGGGAAAGACAGAGAGAGGAUGCCAGCCGGGGGAAAGAGAGAGAGGAUGCCAGCCGGGGGAAAGACAGAGAGAGGAUGCCAGCCGGGGGAAAGACAGAGAGAGGAUGCCAGCUGGGGAGAAAGACAGAGAGGCUAGAUUAGAACCUAGACUAGCCAGGCCACGAGAUGGACUGCUUCUACUGGGUCAGAGUUUACGCACAGCAGAGUUAACUGUCCUCAGACAGACGGACAGACAGAUGGAGGAACUAGGAAUAAUCAUCACUUUUCUUACAGUUUCUUUUCCCAGUCAAAGCCAAUCAGAAUCAUGCAGUCUGUACAGUACUACUGUUUUCAGGGAUAUGUAGCCCCUCUGUGGAGUGUUUCAAAAUGCCCAAGUCAGUAAUGAGGUCAGUAGUCAGUAAUGAGGUCAGUAGUCAGUAAUGAGGUCAGUAGUCAGUAAUGAGGUCAGUAGUCAGUAAUGAGGUCAGUAGUCAGUAAUGAGGUCAGUAGUCAGUAAUGAGGUCAGUAGUCAGUAAUGAGGUCAGUAAUGAGGUCAGUAGUCAGUAAGGAUGUCAGUAGUCAGUAAUGAUGUCAGUAAUGAGGUCAGUAGUCAGUAAUGAUGUCAGUAGUCAGUAAUGAUGUCAGUAAUGAGGUCAGUAGUCAGUAAUGAUGUCAGUAAAGAGGUCAGGUCAGUAGUCAGUAAUGAGGUCAGUAGUCAGUAAUGAGGUCAGUAGUCAGUAAUGAGGUCAGUAGUCAGUAAUGAGGUCAGUAGUCAGUAAUGAUGUCAGUAAAGAGGUCAGUAAUGAGGUCAGGUCAGUAGUCAGUAAUGAGGUCAGUAAUGAGGUCAGUAGUCAGUAAUGAUGUCAGUAAUGAGGUCAGUAGUCAGUAAUGAUGUCAGUAAAGAGGUCAGGUCAGUAGUCAGUAAUGAGGUCAGUAGUCAGUAAUGAUGUCAGUAAUGAGGUCAGUAGUCAGUAAUGAGGCCAGGUCAGUAGUCAGUAAUGAUGUCAGGUCAGUAGUCAGUAAUGAUGUCAGUAAUGAGGUCAGUAAUGAGGCCAGGUCAGUAGUCAGUAAUGAUGUCAGUAAUGAGGUCAGUAGUCAGUAAUGAGGUCAGGUCAGUAGUCAGUAAUGAGGCCAGGUCAGUAGUCAGUAAUCAGGUCAGUAGUCAGUAAUGAGGCCAGGUCAGUAGUCAGUAAUGAGGCCAGGUCAGUAGUCAGUAAUGAGGCCAGGUCAGUAGUCAGUAAUGAUGUCAGUAAUGAGGCCAGAUCAGUAGUCAGUAAUGAGGUCAGUAGUCAGUAAUGAGGUCAGUAGUCAGUAAUGAGGUCAGUAGUCAGUAAUGAGGCCAGGUCAGUAGUCAGUAAUGAUGUCAGUAAUGAGGCCAGUUCAGUAGUCAGUAAUGAGGCCAGUUUAGUAGUCAGUAAUGAGGUCAGUAAUGAGGUCAGGUCAGUAGUCAGUAAUGAUGCCAGGUCAGUAGUCAGUAAUGAGGUCAGUAAUGAGGCCAGUUCAGUAGUCAGUAAUGAGGCCAGGUCAGUAGUCAGUAAUGAGGUCAGUAAUGAGGUCAGGUCAGUAGUCAGUAAUGAGGCCAGGUCAGUAGUCAGUAAUGAGGUCAGUAAUGAGGUCAGGUCAGUAGUCAGUAAUGAGGCCAGGUCAGUAGUCAGUAAUGAGGUCAGUAGUCAGUAAUGAUGUCAGUAAUGAGGUCAGUAGUCAGUAAUGAUGUCAGUAGUCAGUAAUGAUGUCAGUAAUGAGGUCAGUAGUCAGUAAUGAUGUCAGUAGUCAGUAAUGAGGUCAGUAGUCAGUAAUGAGGUCAGUAGUCAGUAAUGAGGUCAGUAGUCAGUAAUGAGGUCAGUAGUCAGUAAUGAGGUCAGGUCAGUAGUCAGUAAUGAGGUCAGUAAUGAGGUCAGUAGUCAGUAAUGAUGUCAGUAAUGAGGUCAGUAGUCAGUAAUGAUGUCAGUAAUGAGGUCAGGUCAGUAGUCAGUAAUGAGGUCAGUAAUGAGGUCAGUAGUCAGUAAUGAUGUCAGUAGUCAGUAAUGAUGUCAGUAAUGAGGUCAGUAGUCAGUAAUGAUGUCAGUAAAGAGGUCAGGUCAGUAGUCAGUAAUGAGGUCAGUAGUCAG